Molecule: ribosomal RNA, 253 nt
Filed under: uncultured bacterium
Lineage: Bacteria
Description: partial 16S ribosomal RNA
Rfam family: Bacterial small subunit ribosomal RNA
Source: RNAcentral
GACAGAGGUUGCAAACGUUGUUCGGAAUUACUGGGCAUAAAGCGCACGUAGGCGGUUCGUUAAGUCAUGUGUGAAAUCCCCCGGCUCAACCGGGGAAUUGCGCCUGAUACUGGCGGGCUAGAGAUCGAUAGGGGUGAGUGGAACUCCAGGUGGAGCGGUGAAAUGCGUAGAUAUCUGGAGGAACACCGGUGGCGAAAGCGGCUCACUGGAUCGAUACUGACGCUGAGGUGCGAAAGCUAGGGUAGCAAACGGG